AGUGAACGCUGGCGGUAGGCCUAACACAUGCAAGUCGAACGGCAGCACAGUAAGAGCUUGCUCUUACGGGUGGCGAGUGGCGGACGGGUGAGGAAUACAUCGGAAUCUACUUUUUCGUGGGGGAUAACGUAGGAAAAUUACGCUAAUAACGCAUACGACCUACGGGUGAAAGCAGGGGAUCUUCGGACCUUGCGCGGUUGAAUGAGGCGAUGUCGGAUUAGCUAGUUGGCGGGGUAAAGGCCCACCAAGGCGACGAUCCGUAGCUGGGCUGAGGGGAUGAUCAGCCACACUGGAACUGAGACACGGUCCAGACUCCUACGGGAGGCAGCAGUGGGGAAUAUUGGACAAUGGGCGCAAGCCUGAUCCAGCCAUACCGCGUGGGUGAAGAAGGCCUUCGGGUUGUAAAGCCCUUUUGUUGGGAAAGAAAAGCAGCAGGUUAAUACCCCGCUGUUCUGACGGUACCCAAAGAAUAAGCACCGGCUAACUUCGUG
This 491-nucleotide ribosomal RNA is filed under the name uncultured bacterium. Its description in RNAcentral is "partial 16S ribosomal RNA". It matches the Rfam family "Bacterial small subunit ribosomal RNA", at positions 29 to 507 of the family's 1533-position model. The record is from RNAcentral.